UUCUUCUCACAACUCACUCACAAAGCAAAGCAGCAACAAUUCAUUCUAUCCAGUUUCUCCAGAGUCCCAAAGCUGAAGCCUUCAAGCUCAGCACCCAUCAAAUGACGGACUGCCCCUUCAGCCAGUCCUAAUUUACCAUCCCAGCACCGCCCAUUAUGGCUUUUCACUGCCCCUGCUCCACUGAAGCACUGGAGUCGCGGCGUCUCAUGGGCGUCCCGGAAGCUCACGCUCGUCCUCGGCGCCAACACCACCUCCUCACGAAGCAGACCCACUUCCCCUCUUCCUCCUCUUGGCUCGUUCGCUCCGUCAGCCUGAGGUUUUUAUCACCGAGGUUAGAGUUAGUUGGGUCAUUCCAAAGGGUUGUUUCGAGCUUUGAAGCACCAACUUUGAGGCUCUAGGAAUUGGGAGGAAAGCUAAAGCUUUGUGGGGUUGUCUGGUGUCUGCAGUUUUUUGGAACAUUUGGUUGGAGCGUGACAAAAGAAUUUUUGAGGAUUAUACUGGUGUGGGGGUAGCAGAUCUAUGGGGAAGAGUAAGAUAUUGGGCAGCCCUCUGGGCUUCAGUUUCGAAUGAUUUUAAGAAUUACUCUCUUUCUCACAUACUGUGGGAUAUGUUAGCAGUUGUAAAGUGAUUUUGGUUGAGG
Molecule: long non-coding RNA, 640 nt
Organism: Pyrus x bretschneideri (Chinese white pear)
Lineage: Eukaryota; Viridiplantae; Streptophyta; Magnoliopsida; Rosales; Rosaceae
Exons: 2
Source: RefSeq, a predicted model, not a curated record